CCUACGGGUGGCUGCAGUGGGGAAUAUUGCACAAUGGGGGGAACCCUGAUGCCGCGACGCCGCUUGAGUGAAGAAGUGAUUCGUUAUGUAAAGCUCUAUCAGCAGGGAAGAAAAUGACGGUACCUGAGUAAGAAGCCCCGGCUAACUACGUGCCAGCAGCCGCGGUAAUACGUAGGGGGCAAGCGUUAUCCGGCUUUACUGGGUGUAAAGGGAGCGUAGACGGCAGUGCAAGUCUGGAGUGAAAGGCCGGGGCUCAACCCCGGGACUGCUCUGGAAACUGUAUGGCUGGAGUGCAGGAGAGGCAAGUGGAAUUCCUGGUGUAGCGGUGAAAUGUGUAGAUAUUAGGAGGAACACCAGUGGCGAAGGCGGCUUACUGGACUGUAACUGACGUUGAGGCUCGAAAGCGUGGGGAGCAAACAGGAUUAGAUACCCGAGUAGUC
This 440-nucleotide ribosomal RNA is filed under the name uncultured bacterium. Its description in RNAcentral is "partial 16S ribosomal RNA". It matches the Rfam family "Bacterial small subunit ribosomal RNA", at positions 338 to 795 of the family's 1533-position model. The record is from RNAcentral.